This 382-nucleotide ribosomal RNA is filed under the name Laribacter hongkongensis. RNAcentral describes it as "bacterial SSU rRNA". It matches the Rfam family "Bacterial small subunit ribosomal RNA", at positions 1152 to 1533 of the family's 1533-position model. Lineage: Bacteria; Pseudomonadati; Pseudomonadota; Betaproteobacteria; Neisseriales; Aquaspirillaceae. The record is from RNAcentral.
CCGGUGACAAACCGGAGGAAGGUGGGGAUGACGUCAAGUCCUCAUGGCCCUUAUGACCAGGGCUUCACACGUCAUACAAUGGUCGGUACAGAGGGUCGCUAAGCCGCGAGGUAGUGCCAAUCUCAUAAAACCGAUCGUAGUCCGGAUCGCAGUCUGCAACUCGACUGCGUGAAGUCGGAAUCGCUAGUAAUCGCGGAUCAGCAUGUCGCGGUGAAUACGUUCCCGGGCCUUGUACACACCGCCCGUCACACCAUGGGAGUGGAAUCCGCCAGAAGUGGGUAGGGUAACCGUAAGGAGCCCGCUUACCACGGUAGGUUUCAUGACUGGGGUGAAGUCGUAACAAGGUAGCCGUAGGGGAACCUGCGGCUGGAUCACCUCCUUU